AGCAUAAAUCACUCAGAAGUCAAAAUACCUGCUUUCUCCCCAUGGUUUUGAGUGACUUUAAGCCAUGAACUGCCACCUGUUAAAUAAUUUCACAGAGGAUAUCUAGGGUCCUUGCUUGACGUAGUAACUGCUCAUUACAUAUUUGAGUGCAUGAAUGUUAUAUGGUUAGAUAGAGGUUUGACCUCAGCUCCUAGAUUGUGUGUGUGUGUGUAUGUGUGUGUAUUUUUUUCUCUCUUUUUCAGACUUACUAUUUUAGAAAUUAUAAGAAAAGGACAAACAGUGGGGAACAUAGUAGAGCCCUUGCUAGCAGGCAUAAGGGCCUGAGUUGAUUCCCAGUAACAUC
Molecule: long non-coding RNA, 343 nt
Organism: Perognathus longimembris pacificus (Pacific pocket mouse)
Lineage: Eukaryota; Metazoa; Chordata; Mammalia; Rodentia; Heteromyidae
Exons: 2
Source: RefSeq, a predicted model, not a curated record